Molecule: long non-coding RNA, 307 nt
Filed under: Ananas comosus (pineapple)
Lineage: Eukaryota; Viridiplantae; Streptophyta; Magnoliopsida; Poales; Bromeliaceae
Description: long non-coding RNA (ACOM_LNC006954)
Source: RNAcentral
AUCGCGAAGCAAUUCGCGAAAACAAACCGUAACAACUACCGAUGCCAUAAUUGCACCGAAACAGUAUAAAAAAAAUCGAUACACAACGAAAAAUAAAUCAGUAAAACAUAAAAAUACGUAAAAAAAAAAAAAAGCUAGAUAAAAACAACAAAGAAAGUAUCAAGAAACCAGGCUUCAGUUACGAUAUCUCGCAAUGGUAGGAAACCAAACAGAACUUCUACCUGAUCUCUGCAAAACCCCACCUUUCUUAGCCAUCUGUGAGAAAACCCACAACAGUGAAGGGUUCAUCGAGCAAAAACCCCAACCC